This 484-nucleotide ribosomal RNA is filed under the name uncultured bacterium. Its description in RNAcentral is "partial 16S ribosomal RNA". It matches the Rfam family "Bacterial small subunit ribosomal RNA", at positions 30 to 507 of the family's 1533-position model. The record is from RNAcentral.
AUUGAACGCUGGCGGCAGGCCUAACACAUGCAAGUCGAGCGGAAGAAGGGAGCUUGCUCCUGGAUUCAGCGGCGGACGGGUGAGUAAUACCUAGGAAUAUGCCUGGUAGUAGGGGAUAACGUCCGGAAACGGGCGCUAAUACCGCAUACGACCUGAUGGAGAAAGUGGGGGAUCUUCGGACCUCACGCUAUCAGAUGAGCCUAGGUCGGAUUAGCUAGUUGGUGGGGUAAAGGCCUACCAAGGCGACGAUCCGUAACUGGUCUGAGAGGAUGAUCAGUCACACUGGAACUGAGACACGGUCCAGACUCCUACGGGAGGCAGCAGUGGGGAAUAUUGGACAAUGGGCGAAAGCCUGAUCCAGCCAUGCCGCGUGUGUGAAGAAGGUCUUCGGAUUGUAAAGCACUUUAAGUUGGGAGGAAGGGCAGUAAGUUAAUACCUUGCUGUUUUGACGUUACCAACAGAAUAAGCACCGGCUAACUUCGUG